RNAcentral lists this ribosomal RNA (1452 nucleotides) under Triticum aestivum (bread wheat). RNAcentral's name for it is "partial small subunit ribosomal RNA". Lineage: Eukaryota; Viridiplantae; Streptophyta; Magnoliopsida; Poales; Poaceae. The record is from RNAcentral.
AUGGCUGGAUGCUGGCCCACAGAAAAUACAGCCCAUGCCCGGCCCAGGCUAUUAUACCAUAGUCCAGGCCCAACUGUUGCGCAUCGCGCCAUGGCCUCCGAGCUCGGGCAACCGCCGCCGGCGAAAUGCCCACCGACGGCGCCCACCACCAUUACCGAUAUCAGCGACGACCUCCUUUGCGAGAUCUUCCUCCUCCUUCCCUCCCUCCCGAGCCUCGUUCGCGCCGCCCUCGCCUGCCGCACCUUCCUCCACGCCGUCCGUUCGUCCCCCGCCUUCCGCCGCCGAUUCCGGGCGCUCCACCGUCCGCAGCUCCUUGGCUUCUUCCGUGAAACCGGCCGGGAAGCCAUCCCUCCCUUCGUCCCCAUCCGCAGAAGCUCCGACCCCGACCUCACCGCGGCCGUCAGCGGUUCCGAUUUCUUCCUCUUCCGCCUCCCCGAAGACAGCGAUUCCACCCCCGGCUGGGAGCUGAGGCGCUGCCACGACGGCUACCUCGUCCUCGCCAACAAUGUCACCGACCAGAUCGCUGCCUACAACCCCCUCACGCAGGCGCUGCAUCUCUUCCCCACGCCGCUCAGGGAGAUCCUCAGCAAGGGUCUGUUCCCCCAGCCACAGCGGCCCAAGGAGAUCCGCAUCGAAGUCCUUGAGUUCCAUAUCCUCUUCUCCGAGGAGGACCAGCGGGUGUUCCGAAUGGCUUGUGUCCAAUUUCGGAACAUUUCGAAGGUGCCGGUGUGUGUUGCUGUCUUCUCACCGGCCACCAGGGAGUGGCAGGUUUUGCCAUGGCCGGCUCCACCACAGCCUGUGGAUGACGACUGGUUCGGCUUUUGCCCUGGUAUGCAGAUGAGUGGAUUCGUUUACUGGAAACACAAGAGUAAAGCCUAUCUACUUGUUCUCGACAACGUGACACUGCAGUUCUCUAGAGUGUAUUUGCCGCAUUUCUUGCGAAAGAUAGACCCUACGCUGUUCAAGCUUGGUCAGACCAAGGAUGGGAAGCUCUGCAUGGUUUGUGCAGAUGACUCCGACGCAAAUAUAGGAACGCUUGUUGUUCAUGUUUGGGGAGCUGAUGAUGACGGUGUUGAGAAAUGGAUGCUGGAAGAUACUUUUCCACUCAGUACAUUUAUUGAUGCCGACAAGUAUUUAACAGAGGAUGAUACCACGGUGCAGAUUGAGGCCGUUAUCGAUGGCUUUGUGUACCUGUCUAUUAAGUAUGAUGAUUAUACUGAGUCCCUCAUAUCCUUCUGCCUGGAAACAGCAGAGCUAAACACGCUCUUUGAUGAUACAUAUGCAAGCCCUGCUUAUCCCUACAUCAUGUCAUGGCCUCCUUCUUUGGUAUGCAACAAGGAGGAUUCACAAACCAAGAUUACUGGAUGCAGUGUAGAAGAUGCUGGUUCUGUGGGCACAGAAGAAACUCCCUCUGCUCUUGUCACAGCGCCGCAAUCACACAAAUUUGCUUGA